RNAcentral lists this transfer RNA (74 nucleotides) under bacterium. RNAcentral describes it as "tRNA-Arg". It matches the Rfam family "tRNA". Rfam says of the family: Transfer RNA (tRNA) molecules are approximately 80 nucleotides in length. The record is from RNAcentral.
GCGCUCAUAGCUUAAUUGGAUAGAGCAGUUGCUUGCGGAGCAACAGGUUGCCUGUUCGAGUCAGGCUGGGCGCA